Molecule: small nucleolar RNA, 107 nt
Organism: Gossypium raimondii (Peruvian cotton)
Lineage: Eukaryota; Viridiplantae; Streptophyta; Magnoliopsida; Malvales; Malvaceae
Rfam family: Plant small nucleolar RNA R71
About the family: R71 is a member of the C/D box family of snoRNAs containing the C (UGAUGA) and D (CUGA) box motifs. Multiple nearly identical copies of this snoRNA have been identified in Arabidopsis, and it is thought to function as a 2'-O-ribose methylation guide for 18S ribosomal RNA.
Source: Rfam
AUCCCAUGAUGAGGACACUUACGAAGUAACUCAUUCAAUCGCUCCCAAGCCUUAUACAAAGACUCAUCAUCCAAUUGUUGGAAAAUUGUGGUCUCGUUCCUUAACUU